This 450-nucleotide ribosomal RNA is filed under the name uncultured bacterium. Its description in RNAcentral is "bacterial SSU rRNA". It matches the Rfam family "Bacterial small subunit ribosomal RNA", at positions 355 to 825 of the family's 1533-position model. The record is from RNAcentral.
UGGGGAAUCUUGCGCAAUGGGCGAAAGCCUGACGCAGCGACGCCGCGUGUGGGAUGAAGGUCUUCGGAUUGUAAACCACUGUCGGGAGGGACGAAGCUCUGACGGUACCUCCAAAGGAAGCACCGGCUAACUCUGUGCCAGCAGCCGCGGUAAUACAGAGGGUGCGAGCGUUGUCCGGAAUCACUGGGCGUAAAGGGCGCGUAGGCGGCCUGGGUAAGUAGGGGGUGAAAUCUCAUGGCUCAACUGUGAGGCUGCCUUCUAGACUGCUGGGCUUGAGCACGGUAGAGGCUGGUGGAAUUCCCGGUGUAGCGGUGGAAUGCGUAGAGAUCGGGAGGAACAUCGGUGGCGAAGGCGGCCAGCUGGGCCGUUGCUGACGCUGAGGCGCGAAAGCGUGGGGAGCAAACAGGAUUAGAUACCCCCGUAGUCCCUGAGCGGGCUGGCAAGGCGCAU